Long non-coding RNA from Rhinolophus ferrumequinum (greater horseshoe bat), 416 nucleotides. RefSeq lists it as uncharacterized. The transcript has 3 exons. Lineage: Eukaryota; Metazoa; Chordata; Mammalia; Chiroptera; Rhinolophidae. The record is from RefSeq and is a predicted model, not a curated record.
GAACUAACUCAUGGUCAAUCUUGUUUCAGCUAUGCUUCCAUCCACUCUUCCUUACCAACUGGAUUAUUCUGAAGGAAAUUCCAGGCAUCAUAUCAUUUCAUGUAUUAGUGACCCUGUUAGUGAAGGAACCUGGCCUUACCUUCUGUAGGACUGGAAAAGAAUCCCAGGCAAUUAGGGAGUUAACACCCCAUGGGUGAACUUUGGCCAGUGCAAGAUAAGAGACAGGAAGGAACCAGGAAAAAAUCUUCUAUCAGUUUCACUCCUCAGUGGACCAUUUUAAGAGAUGGCAAUCCAGGCAACCGUCAUUUUCCCAGGAUCGUCUCCAUCAGAAGGGUGAAGAGCAGUACUGUGAAUUUAUGUAUUUAAUAAGCUCUCCAAGUGAGUUUUAUGAUGAAGCAAGUAUGGCAGACAUUACC